Long non-coding RNA from Rhopalosiphum padi (bird cherry-oat aphid), 473 nucleotides. RefSeq lists it as uncharacterized. The record is from RefSeq and is a predicted model, not a curated record. NCBI's taxonomy places the organism in Eukaryota, Metazoa, Arthropoda, Insecta, Hemiptera, Aphididae. The transcript is spliced from 3 exons.
ACUAAUUAUAUAAUUGUAUUAUCGUCUGCAGGCCAACAGGACUGCAGCGAGCUUACAAAAAUUUAAACUCCAUUAUGAAUCCCAUCUGGACUUGGAUGUUAAAAAAACGAUCAACAUUUUUUGGAUUAAAUUAAAUGCUAGACAAAUAAAUUCAACAGUUGGAGGAUUUGUGUUCGUUAAUAUGGACCUAAUGAAAGCCAUAUGUGGUGUCAUUGCAACAUAUUUCUUAGUACUAAUUCAAUUCAAAAGUCAAAAAGGCAAAUCCAAACCUUUGUACUACAUUUGGAAUUAAGUUUUAAUAAAAACCGCUAAAAACAAAAACAAUAUCAAUACCGAAAUUUAAAUAAGAAAAUCAAUACCUAUAGGUAUUUAAAACUGAAAUUUAUGUGAAUAAUGAAUACCGGUAUUCAAAAUUGAAAAAAAUGAAAACCAGUUACAGAAACCGAAAUCGAAAAAAAUAUUUUUGGUUUCAA